AUUGAACGCUGGCGGCAUGCCUUACACAUGCAAGUCGAACGGCAGCACGGGCUUCGGCCUGGUGGCGAGUGGCGAACGGGUGAGUAGAGCAUCGGAACAUGUCCUGUAGAGGGGGAUAGCCCGGCGAAAGCCGGAUUAAUACCGCAUACGAUCUAAGGAUGAAAGCGGGGGACCUUCGGGCCUCGCGCUAUAGGGUUGGCCGAUGUCUGAUUAGCUAGUUGGUGGGGUAAAGGCCUACCAAGGCGACGAUCAGUAGCUGGUCUGAGAGGACGGCCAGCCACACUGGGACUGAGACACGGCCCAGACUCCUACGGGAGGCAGCAGUGGGGAAUUUUGGACAAUGGGCGCAAGCCUGAUCCAGCAAUGCCGCGUGUGUGAAGAAGGCCUUCGGGUUGU
Molecule: ribosomal RNA, 396 nt
Filed under: uncultured bacterium
Lineage: Bacteria
Description: bacterial SSU rRNA
Rfam family: Bacterial small subunit ribosomal RNA
Source: RNAcentral